Long non-coding RNA from Dermacentor silvarum, 2170 nucleotides. RefSeq lists it as uncharacterized. Lineage: Eukaryota; Metazoa; Arthropoda; Arachnida; Ixodida; Ixodidae. The transcript is spliced from 3 exons. The record is from RefSeq and is a predicted model, not a curated record.
CGCCAAAAGCGGUACCAUUUGUGCUCGCAGUUUUUUUUUUCAUCGUGUUAAAGCGCUCUAAUAUUUGCUGCAUUCAACAGGUAUAUAGUUAUUUUCAACGGCGUGUGGCGUGCCAUCAGCGUAAGGAGGUUUGAAGUUCCCACAUGUGCGCACUUUUGGUGCGCUACAGUUUCGAGUUCGCGUUGUUUCCUUCACAAAAGGCGCGCUCGUCUCUGUUAUUCUAUCGUCGGAAAGGAAACCUUUGUCUUGGUUUGUACUGGCGUUCUGUAUGUGCCGCCGUAUUUAAAAUUUUCAGCACCUGAAACGAUACCAGCUGUGCAAGGGGUUUUAGUUAUUUUGAAAUGCUCUCCAAUAUAAUACUCUGCUUUCAACUGCAAUAUAGUUAUGUUUAACGGCGUAUUGUGUGCCAGACUUGCGCGCGCUUUUGCUAGGCUGUAGGGCUGUUUUGCUCACAAACCUUUGUCUUCGUUUUCGUUGGCGUUCGGAAUGUGACGCCGUUUAAAAAUCGUACUGUACCUUUAAACGGUGCCAGUUGUGCAAGCAGUAUUUUGUUGCUUUGAAAUAAUGUAAUAUUUGUGUCCUUCAACGGAGAUAUAGCUAUGUUAGUGAACGGAUUAGUGAAACCAUUGAUCACUUUCUAUGAUGCCACCACCCAAAAAGUGAUUCUGUAGCACUUUUCUGCUUAAGGUCGUUUGAUCCUCGGAAUUCAAGUUGGCAGAUGGUGCAAGUGAGCAUGCAUGCGACUAGUCCGCAAUGUGACAAGAGUGUAAUACGGCCGCUGAUGAUGAUGAAUUUUUAUGGUGCAAUGGCAACUUUGACUAAGGUGUGCCAUGGCUCAUGCUAUUUUUCUCAUCACAACGUGACGUGUAAUAACUAUUUUCCAAGUGUUCCCAGAUAUUCCGCAGAUAUGCCGAGCAGAAGGCCAGGGGAAGCUUGUACCCGUGGUAUCACUGGUGGGUACCCAGCCGCACUGGAGAUAGAACCUCGCACCACCCAUAUAUGAGGCAUAUGCUUAAAUCACUAAGCCACUGCUGCGGUAAAAAAAGCAACACUAGUAUAGCGAAACUUCGUCAAACAUUAGUGGUGAACACUUAUGCUACAGUGGGCGAUUUUUAAGAAGGAGCAAUAUCUGUAAAACAUUUAUGAAUAGCCUUGAGGCACCAAAUUUCAACAUUUAGAACCUGUAUAACUUCUCGAAUGUAUUUUGGACAUUACAACGAAUCUAGGUACAAGCUCAAGAGUAGCUUCACUACUGUUAUAUUUAGGAUUGUUUUCUCCUCCUCUUGGUACAGGGCACUUAUUGGUAAUAACGCAGACUAUAGGAGCAAUGCUAAGAAAAAAUCAAGGAAAGUGAGCCCAAAUAUACUCAGUUUGACAAAAAAAAUCAUGGAGUCUGAGUGGAACCUUUAGGUCAAUGUGGAUAUGACGAGACCUCUACUUAAAGAGAGGGAAAUGUUGGCUUAGAGGAACAUAGUUUAUCCUUCACGGAUUCUAAAUUUUUGAAGACUGAGGAAAGUACAAGAUGGAUUGAAAUAUUAGAAAGUGAUUAUGAUCAAGUUAUUUCUUUUGUCUGGAAUGGACAUAUGCCAAAUGCAGAAUCCAGGUGCGUUGAGAACUUUAAUAAAAAGUUAGCAGUAUUGCCCAUUUCUACUGCAUUGUCUUCCUGUGUAGCAUAUUUACACUUCACAUUUUACGGCGGUGGCCUAAUCCAUGCAUGCAGUUUUUAGGCUUUGUCUCAACGCCAUAGAUGCCUGAAUAUUAGAAAAGCAACAGCGUUGCUUCUGUGUAAAUCCGAUUGAAUGAAUUCUGCACCAAGAAAUAGCGUGGGCAUUGAAAAUCCAGAAUAUCUUUUCUAUACACUACAAAUGACCUAAGUUGACAAAUAGUACGGGUAGACAUCUACCUACGGAAAAGAGGAUCUUACAGUCUUCAUUUUGCUCUGCAAAGAUUAGAAAACCAGAAAAAUGUGGGUGUGCUCAUUUCCCAGGCCUCGUCAUAUAUCACAACCUAAAGGUUAGAAAGGCAGAAAAUGCUGGUAUGCAUGUUUAAUAGCGCACUACAUAUUUCACAGUAGGCUACAAAACGAGAAAACGUUGCUGCCGAAGUUUUACACGCCAGUGUAUUUUUAACGGCUUAAAGGCUUGAAAACACAAAAUUGGUGCAGCAUAGA